Molecule: ribosomal RNA, 382 nt
Filed under: uncultured Flavobacterium sp.
Lineage: Bacteria; Pseudomonadati; Bacteroidota; Flavobacteriia; Flavobacteriales; Flavobacteriaceae
Description: bacterial SSU rRNA
Rfam family: Bacterial small subunit ribosomal RNA
Source: RNAcentral
ACGACCGGCGCACGGGUGCGUAACGCGUAUAGAACCUACCUUUUACAGGGGAAUAGCCCAGAGAAAUUUGGAUUAAUGCCCCAUAGUAUUAUUGAUUGGCAUCAAUUAAUAAUUAAACAUUUAUGGGUAAAAGAUGGCUAUGCGUUCUAUUAGCUAGUAGGUAAGGUAACGGCUUACCUAGGCGACGAUAGAUAGGGGUCCUGAGAGGGAGAUCCCCCACACUGGUACUGAGACACGGACCAGACUCCUACGGGAGGCAGCAGUGAGGAAUAUUGGACAAUGGAGGCAACUCUGAUCCAGCCAUGCCGCGUGCAGGAAGACGGCCCUAUGGGUUGUAAACUGCUUUUAUACAGGAAGAAACCUUUCCACGUGUGGGAAGCUG